RNAcentral lists this long non-coding RNA (727 nucleotides) under Phascolarctos cinereus (koala). RNAcentral's name for it is "lncRNA (ENSPCIG00000032464.1)". The record is from RNAcentral. Lineage: Eukaryota; Metazoa; Chordata; Mammalia; Diprotodontia; Phascolarctidae.
CUGUGAUCUUAUUAUGAUCUUUUAAAAUUCCCAGACUUAAGUUCUUUCUAUUACUCCCACUUCCCUUUAGCAAAUUAUUGAAAUUAUCUUUUACUAAAGGGUAGUUUACCCCCUUCCAUGUUUAAAAAAAAAAAGCAACCAUAAUUCUUUCAGUUGCAUGACUUUGUAACCAGAAAUCAGGAUUCUUUUUUAGGUUUCUGAUGUUGCCUGCUUCCUCUUCCAACUCAUGCAGUCACAAGCACCAAAAGAGAUUCCUGUUGGCUAAUCCUAUUGACAAUAAACAGACUUAAUGGUUGUUUAAGCACAUCAGACUACUCACCCUUUGAAUACACAGAAACCAGAUGUAACUUUAGGUCAGAAUCUGUUAAAAUGAAGCUCCACUUUUGUAAGCCCCACCAAUACCCUGCUGACAAUGGAUCAGUAAAGGUCAUGGGUUUCUCCCAAUGACGCACCUUCCUGCAUGGCUUCAAGACAUGCUAUGCCUCAGGAUCUUUGAUUUAGACCUGGGAGGGGACUGAAAGAUCAUCCACUCCUGACCCCCAAAGAAUGAAGGUUGUUGCUACCCUAGUGCCUGCUCCUAUCAAAUCACGUCCAUCUGCUCUGUGUCUUGAAUGUACGUAUCUCCUUUGUUAGAACAUGAGCUCCUUGAGGGCAAGACUGUUUUGCCUUUCUUUGUAUCUCUAGCAAUUAGUACAAUGCCUGGGAUAUUUUUGUUGUUUUUCACUCA